Molecule: ribosomal RNA, 232 nt
Filed under: uncultured bacterium
Lineage: Bacteria
Description: partial 16S ribosomal RNA
Rfam family: Bacterial small subunit ribosomal RNA
Source: RNAcentral
CGGGGUGAGUAACGCGUGGGUAACCUGCCUCAUACAGGGGGAUAACGAUUGGAAACGAUUGCUAAUACCGCAUAAGCGCACAGUACCACAUGGUGCGGUGUGAAAAACUCCGGUGGUAUGAGAUGGACCCGCGUCUGAUUAGCUAGUUGGUGAGGUAACGGCCCACCAAGGCAACGAUCAGUAGCCGACCUGAGAGGGUGACCGGCCACAUUGGGACUGAGACACGGCCCAG